GGGUGUAGAGCUCAGUGGCAGAGCACAUGCUUAGCAUGCACAAGGUCCUGGGUUCAAUUCCCUGUACCUCCA
Molecule: transfer RNA, 72 nt
Organism: Camelus ferus (Wild Bactrian camel)
Lineage: Eukaryota; Metazoa; Chordata; Mammalia; Artiodactyla; Camelidae
Rfam family: tRNA
About the family: Transfer RNA (tRNA) molecules are approximately 80 nucleotides in length. Their secondary structure includes four short double-helical elements and three loops (D, anti-codon, and T loops).
Source: Rfam